AUUCUGCCCAUGCGGGAAGGAUGAGAGGCUUCGACCAAGGUUCGACUCGAGUGCCAGAGAGAGCGUGCAGGCAACGACCCGUAGGGCGAAGCGCGCAGCGCUGAGUAAUCCUUCCCCACCACCA
RNAcentral lists this small RNA (124 nucleotides) under Escherichia coli. Its description in RNAcentral is "RtT sRNA". It matches the Rfam family "RtT RNA". From Rfam's summary of the family: This family represents a bacterial cis-regulatory element known as RtT RNA. The exact function of RtT is unknown although it is thought that it may be involved in changing the cellular response in relation to amino acid starvation. The record is from RNAcentral. Lineage: Bacteria; Pseudomonadati; Pseudomonadota; Gammaproteobacteria; Enterobacterales; Enterobacteriaceae.